CUGGCAGUAAACGAUGUAUGCUGGGUGUGGGCGUAGCGAUACGUCCGUGCCGAAGUUAACGCGAUAAGCAUACCGCCUGGGGAGUACGGUCGCAAGAUUGAAACUCAAAGGAAUUGACGGGGGCCCGCACAAGCGGUGGAGCACGUGGUUUAAUUCGAUGCAAACCGAAGAACCUUACCUGGGCUUGACAUACACGUGGUAGAGAAUUGAAAGAGGAUCGACUUUGCCUUCGGGCAAAGAGCGUGAACAGGUGC
Molecule: ribosomal RNA, 254 nt
Filed under: uncultured Synergistaceae bacterium
Lineage: Bacteria; Thermotogati; Synergistota; Synergistia; Synergistales; Synergistaceae
Description: partial 16S ribosomal RNA
Rfam family: Bacterial small subunit ribosomal RNA
Source: RNAcentral